RNAcentral lists this ribosomal RNA (314 nucleotides) under uncultured bacterium. Its description in RNAcentral is "partial 16S ribosomal RNA". It matches the Rfam family "Bacterial small subunit ribosomal RNA", at positions 495 to 807 of the family's 1533-position model. The record is from RNAcentral.
GUAUAAGAGACAGCAGCAGCCGCGGUAAUACAGAGGGUGCGAGCGUUAAUCGGAUUUACUGGGCGUAAAGCGUGCGUAGGCGGCUUUUUAAGUCGGAUGUGAAAUCCCUGAGCUUAACUUAGGAAUUGCAUUCGAUACUGGGAAGCUAGAGUAUGGGAGAGGAUGGUAGAAUUCCAGGUGUAGCGGUGAAAUGCGUAGAGAUCUGGAGGAAUACCGAUGGCGAAGGCAGCCAUCUGGCCUAAUACUGACGCUGAGGUACGAAAGCAUGGGGAGCAAACAGGAUUAGAUACCCCUGUAGUCCCUGUCUCUUAUAC